Melitaea cinxia (Glanville fritillary) is the source of this 1861-nucleotide long non-coding RNA. RefSeq lists it as uncharacterized. Lineage: Eukaryota; Metazoa; Arthropoda; Insecta; Lepidoptera; Nymphalidae. The record is from RefSeq and is a predicted model, not a curated record. The transcript is spliced from 2 exons.
CUCUUGCUGAGCAUAUCUAUUUGUCUCCAUUGAAAUGUGUUCCAUUAUUUGGCGAUCCCAUAUAGCAGUAAAUGCCUCAUAUGGGCUCGCCAAUGGAACUGUGGGACCACAAUUAAUUUCGGAGAAUGGUUCCCUUCUCAAUUCAGGAGGAAUUUGAGAUUCUGAAAACCCUCUCCACUUAAAAUCAAACUUAUUGUAUGGCUCGGCGCUGGCUUCGGGGUCGGCACUGGGUUCAGGCUCUGCGUUGGGUUCGGGCUCGGGCUGGGCGCUAGGUUGGGGCUGCAGGCCGGAGGGAAGUUGAGGUGGCCACUCAAAGUCUAUAGCAGCGUUUAUCGGUGGCACCUCAGUGUCUUCCUCAGACAUAAAAAGUCUUUCAGUUCUCCUCAGCAGAUGCACUGGUUGAACUAAAUCUUCAUCUUCAUCUUCAUCAUCGCUGUCAGCAUCCUCUUCACUGCCUGUAUAAAUAAUAAUAAUAUACUGUAGUCUGUUUUACCUAUGUAAACAGAUAUAUAUAUAUAUAUAUACUACUAAAAGAUAGGUCUGAAAGAAAAAUAUUCACUUACCAUGAUUCAAGAUUCGGGCAAUUUCCGCGUCCCUCAAAGGACGAGCCCUGACGGCUGAUGAUGAAGAUGAAGCCCCGUCUGGAGGAAUCCUUAGAAAAUAAGAAAAUCAGUACCAGUAUCGUAAUAACUAAAAAUAUAAUUUUGCUCAUUUUUGAACUUACAAGCACCGCCUCGAAGCCGGAACCUCCUCGCCCUUUCCAGUAGAGUCAUUAUUUCUAUAACAACAAAAAGAUGUAAAUAUUUUUUCUUGUUUCAUAAAAUAAAACUUUAGAAACAAAUAAAAUAAAAUGAAAACUUACGCGGGUCUCUUUACAGUGGUAAUUCGGGGAGUUGACUGCCCGCUCCCACCACAUUCAACAUACCUGCAAAUAUAGAGCCGGAGACGGUGGAGCCGAGCACAUCGGAGACUCUUGACUCGUAGAGGGGGAGGGGAGCACCAUUUCUUGUAUGGACGACCAUAAGGAUUGGUAUCUACAAAAAAAAGUGUUAAUUUUAUUACCAUAUACCAGAAUAAUGAAACACUUACUAUAGAAUAAACUAUAAUAAUUUAACAUUAAUUUACCCUUCAGGUACUGUCUUCACUGACUGCAGCUCCCUCCUCCUGCUUUCAUGGAGUGGCCUUUCCAUAGCAUGAACCUCGUUAUAGCUCUGCAACGAUCCACUAGUUACACUGAAAUAUAAAUUAAUUGUUUAAAAUACUUUAUUCAUUAUUAAUAAUAUUUAUAAGCAUUUUGUUAGUAAAAAUAAGAAGCAAUUACGAGUCAGAAACUGAGGGCCUAUGAGCACCAAGACCAGCAGUACCAGCACCAAGACCACAAACACGACCGCCGCGCGUGCGGACACGGCCCCUACCCUGCGCACCACCUCGAACCCCGCGCGUAGUCGCUCCACUUCCACGUCGUUUCCGAGAUCGUCGUUGUCUUCUUAUAUUAAAAAAGCAGAAAAAAUCAAAGUUCAUGCAAACACCGAAAAAAGAAACAAUGCAAAAGAAAAUAAUGCAAAAAAUAAAAAAGUGCAAACAUAUUUUUUCGUAAAGCUUCUUUAAAAAUAGCUCAAUACAAAAACCAAAAGAAAAACCGAUAAUGAAAAAAAUUGCAAAAAUAAAUUAAAAUUUUAAUGCAUACAAAAACAUUCCUGAGGCAUAUCCAUACUUAGGAAGCAUCCCAGAAACACAAAAAACAUGACUGUCAAACGUAUGCUGUUGACGUAACCGGCUCCCGGUAUGAGACUAUGUACUUUACAUUUUCAUUACAAAUUUCAUGUUUUUGAAAGAAAUAUAAUGCUACCUAUGAAAUAUA